Molecule: small nucleolar RNA, 106 nt
Organism: Malania oleifera
Lineage: Eukaryota; Viridiplantae; Streptophyta; Magnoliopsida; Santalales; Ximeniaceae
Source: RefSeq, a predicted model, not a curated record
ACCUAAUGAUGUGGACAUUUACGGAGAAAGUCCCUAAAGUGCUCCCAAGUCUCGAAAAAGAGUUCCCCAUCCAUCUGUGUGAAACUUGUGAUAGCUCUCCAAAGUU